GAUCAUGGCUCAGGAUGAACGCUGGCGGCGUGCUUAACACAUGCAAGUCGAGCGAAGCACUUUGCUUUGAUUUCUUCGGGGUGAAGAGCUUAGUGACUGAGCGGCGGACGGGUGAGUAACGCGUGGGUAACCUGCCUCAUACAGGGGGAUAACAGUUAGAAAUGACUGCUAAUACCGCAUAAGGCCACAGCACCGCAUGGUGCAGGGGUAAAAACUCCGGUGGUAUGAGAUGGACCCG
Molecule: ribosomal RNA, 238 nt
Filed under: uncultured bacterium
Lineage: Bacteria
Description: partial 16S ribosomal RNA
Rfam family: Bacterial small subunit ribosomal RNA
Source: RNAcentral